UAGCGGCGGACGGGUGAGUAACACGUAGGCAACCUGCCCUUCACACUGGGAUAACUACCGGAAACGGUAGCUAAUACCGGAUAAUCCCUUUCUCCCUAUGGAGGAAGGCUAAAAGACGGAGCAAUCUGUCACUGAGGGAUGGGCCUGCGGCGCAUUAGCUAGUUGGUGGGGUAACGGCUCACCAAGGCGACGAUGCGUAGCCGACCUGAGAGGGUGAACGGCCACACUGGGACUGAGACACGGCCCAGACUCCUACGGGAGGCAGCAGUAGGGAAUCUUCCGCAAUGGGCGAAAGCCUGACGGAGCAAUGCCGCGUGAGUGAUGAAGGUUUUCGGAUCGUAAAGCUCUGUUGCCAGGGAAGAACGUCCGGUAGAGUAACUGCUACCGGAGUGACGGUACCUGAGAAGAAAGCCCCGGCUAACUACGUGCCAGCAGCCGCGGUAAUACGUAGGGGGCAAGCGUUGUCCGGAAUUAUUGGGCGUAAAGCGCGCGCAGGCGGCUACUUAAGUCUGGUGUUUAAACCUUGGGCUCAACCUGAGGUCGCACUGGAAACUGGGUGGCUUGAGUACAGAAGAGGAAAGUGGAAUUCCACGUGUAGCGGUGAAAUGCGUAGAGAUGUGGAGGAACACCAGUGGCGAAAGCGACUUUCUGGGCUGUAACUGACGCUGAGCGCGAAAGCGUGGGGAGCAAACAGAUUAGAUACCCUGGUAGUCCACGCCGUAAACGAUGAGUGCUAGUGUUAGGGGUUUCGAUACCCUUGGUG
RNAcentral lists this ribosomal RNA (763 nucleotides) under Paenibacillus odorifer. Its description in RNAcentral is "bacterial SSU rRNA". It matches the Rfam family "Bacterial small subunit ribosomal RNA", at positions 93 to 845 of the family's 1533-position model. The record is from RNAcentral. Lineage: Bacteria; Bacillati; Bacillota; Bacilli; Caryophanales; Paenibacillaceae.